Lycium ferocissimum is the source of this 1066-nucleotide long non-coding RNA. RefSeq lists it as uncharacterized. The transcript is spliced from 2 exons. Lineage: Eukaryota; Viridiplantae; Streptophyta; Magnoliopsida; Solanales; Solanaceae. The record is from RefSeq and is a predicted model, not a curated record.
ACACACAAAAGAUGUGUGUAAUUCAGACACAAAAAUGACAAAUAAAAUGGAGACACGUAGAUUUUAGCUUAAACAAAUAAAAUAAAAAAUAAUUUUAUAAUGAAAAAAAAAAAACAUUCUUCUCUCUCUUCCAUCUUCCUUACGCCACCACCUCUCUCCUCUCCUAUUCCACCUCCUCCAUGGACGCCAACCAUUUUCUUCAGGAAAAAGGUCCAUUAGUUUCCACCGGCGACCACAACCCAUGUCACCGUUGAACCUCCAAUCCAUAAAAACCAACACCAUCAGUUCUUGAUCCAAAAACAAUUCACAAGAAACCAUCAAUUAACAAGGAUUUUCAUCACCAAUCCAUUACCUAUAAUCACCGGAAAACCCAUCAAUUAGCAAGGAUUUUCGUCGGAAAAUAUGAAGUUUCGCUGUAAAAAUGAUUUGCUGUCACCUUCCUCUUUUCUUGUUUUCUUCUUCAUUCAAACUCAUUGUUCAGCCAAUCAAGAUUCAACCACCAUCUCGCAGCUGGCACGCUCAUCUCAUGGUUCUAAGUCACCGGUGGCAGAGGCACAAACCCUUCAUCGCCGUCGUCAGCACGUUCUCUUCCUGUUUUAUUCAUCUAGGGUUUGUGCUUGAGGAAGAUAGAGGAGAUAAUGAGUUUUACAAAAAUGAAAAAGAAAAGGAAAAUAUGAUAUUAGAUGCUUUCACGCGCUUAAGAGUCGUGAAACACAAUUUUUUUUUUAUUUUGUGUUUAAAUGACACAGUAAAAGUAAUUUUAGAGGUUCAGAUGGUACGAAUCUCAAUUGGAGGGUCUGAAUGAAUUUUACCGACAAAUUUGAAGAUUUAUCUAUUGACUUUAGCCAUAAAAGAAAAAGGGCGGGCCCUUAGCAUGUGAAAAAGAGAGAGGCAAAAUUGAGUCUGUUACGUUUUGAUGAUUAUACCGUUUCUAGUGGAUGCUAAGUUGGUUAAGUAAUUGUUGUAGUCUAUGAAGUUGUUGAUCUAUAGAUACUCAUCUAGCUCUUCAAUGCUCCAGCCUUUCCUAUACGAGCUCUUCAUGUCCAACUUUACUAUGAACCUUUGA